GCUCAGCAACUUCACCCACAGCAACCAUGACUUUGAUCAGCGUCUUCAUCUGCACACUGGCCCUCUGGACUCAAGGAUCCAGAGGUCAGGUGACUGUGACUCAGACUCCUUCAGUGCAAACUGUUGCUCCAGGAAACACAGUCACCAUCAACUGCAAAUUCAGCACUGCUGUUUAUGAUGACUGUGGCCCAUCUGGUGUCUCUUAUGACUGUCUCGCCUGGUACCUGCAGAAACCUGGAGAAGCUCCUAAACUCCUGAUCAAGUGGGCUACUACUUUACAGUCAGGGAUUCCAGCUCGUUUCAGCGGCAGUGGAUCGAAUACUGACUUCACUCUGACCAUCAGUGGAGUCCAGACUGAAGAUGCAGGAGAUUACUACUGUCAGAGUUAUCAUUAUAUCAGUAGUAGCAAUGUGUUCACACAGUGUUAG
Non-coding RNA from Neoarius graeffei (lesser salmon catfish), 428 nucleotides. NCBI's taxonomy places the organism in Eukaryota, Metazoa, Chordata, Actinopteri, Siluriformes, Ariidae. The record is from the annotation of a RefSeq genome assembly.